RNAcentral lists this ribosomal RNA (450 nucleotides) under uncultured bacterium. RNAcentral describes it as "partial 16S ribosomal RNA". It matches the Rfam family "Bacterial small subunit ribosomal RNA", at positions 354 to 796 of the family's 1533-position model. The record is from RNAcentral.
GUGGGGAAUUUUGGACAAUGGGCGCAAGCCUGAUCCAGCAAUGCCGCGUGCAGGAAGAAGGCCUUCGGGUUGUAAACUGCUUUUGUACGGAACGAAACGGUCCGGGUUAAUACCCUGGGCUAAUGACGGUACCGUAAGAAUAAGCACCGGCUAACUACGUGCCAGCAGCCGCGGUAAUACGUAGGGUGCAAGCGUUAAUCGGAAUUACUGGGCGCAAAGCGUGCGCAGGCGGUUUUGUAAGACAGGCGUGAAAUCCCAGGGCUCAACCUGGGAAUUGCGCUUGUGACUGCAAGGCUGGAGUGCGGCAGAGGGGGAUGAAAUUCCGCGUGUAGCAGUGAAAUGCGUAGAUAUGCGGAGGAACACCGAUGGAGAAGGCAAUCCCCUGGGCCUGCACUGACGCUCAUGCACGAAAGCGUGGGGAGCAAACAGGAUUAGAAACCCGUGUAGUCC